ACCAGUCACCUUAAUAUAUCGAUAAGAAUGAAAUAUAAAAAAUUUACAUUUUCUCGUGACUGCCGAAAAUUAUCAAAAAUUUUAAUUUGUAAACGUGCGAAAAAUAUAAAUAUCAAGAAAAAUACAUAAAACUACCUCAAAAAAUUCCCGAAUAGCACCAGUCAGCUUAAAAUAUUGAUACAAAUAAAUGAUCAAAAUUUCAUAUUUUUUCAUGACUGCCCGUAAAAUAUAAAAAAAAUUAAUUCUUAAACUUCCGAAAAAUAUAAAAAACAAUAAAAAGAUAUAAAGACAGCUCAAAAAUUUUCUGA
This 308-nucleotide long non-coding RNA is filed under the name Solanum tuberosum (potato). RNAcentral's name for it is "long non-coding RNA (STUB_LNC007192)". Lineage: Eukaryota; Viridiplantae; Streptophyta; Magnoliopsida; Solanales; Solanaceae. The record is from RNAcentral.